CUGGCCUGGAAGGUGGGAGGAGGUCUGAGGAACUGGGUCAGGAGCUGGCCAAGCUCGUCAUCCUCCAGAUGUGAUGGUGAAGGUGGGAGGGUGUGACUCACCGAGACAAGCAGGGAUGUUUUGGAUGUUUCUGAAACUCUGAAGUCCCCUAUCCCCUUGCCAGCUCCUGACAAGGGCGUGCAUGGGGUGAGCCCCUGAAAUAGCAGAGUGAACCAGGGUGCCCAAGGGGACACCCAUCAGCAUUCUUUUCUCAGGCUCCCCACAGGGAGCGCAUGCGGAAUGCUGGGAUUUUAAGCCAUUCCUGGAGCCCUUGUGGUUCCAGCUUCAACCCCAGCUCCACCCCCCACCCCAUGGCCAUGGAGUCGGCCUUUGGGUCCACAGGCCCACAGAGACGGUGAGUCCCCAAGCCCUGGGCCUGGCGGAAGAGAACCUCGGCUGUAGAAGUGGGCUGACUACAGCUUGUUGUGCUGUUGCUAAGUUCUGUGCUGAUCAAUCUGGCCUCAGGGGUUUUUUUUUUUCGUUUGGUUUCUUGUUCUGACGGGAACUGGGCGAAUCUGGAGCCGGUUCAUCACAGCCACAGCAUUCCAGAGGGUGUGACUCCGCGAGCUCCUUUUUGGCCUCAGAUCCCGCGUCCACACCCUCCCCAGCUGCCGAGCGGAUGGAUGGACGGUCGGGAGAGCAGCUCAAACCAAGGUUCAUCAUGAAAGGAUCCCUGGCAGCUCUUGGGCCAAGAGUAGAAGCAGACGUAGGGCCUCAGGAGCUCAAAUCCUUUUUGGUACAACAAAUGUGUGCUGGCAGUAGGAGAAGGCACAUCCUCUGAGCCUCUGUUGCCCUACCUGUAAAAUGGGGAUGCUGGUGAACUCACAGACUUAUUCUGAGAUAUGAAAACUGAGGCUUUGAGUGGAGAAGUAAUCUACCCAAGGGCAUACAGUUAUUACUUGUUGAGGCAUUUGGAACAAAGUCCCAGAAUUUUGGUGGUAUUAUUCGAACAUCUACUGAGGACUUUCUAGGGGAUAGUCACUCACUCCUUUAUAAAGAAGACAUAUGUAAGUACCUGCUGCUCCCUAACCCUUGGGAUAAGUCCUGGGGCCCAGAGAUGGGGCAAGACAACUCACUUCUCCCUGUUUCCUUUCACCAGGACACUCUGGGGAGGCACGCUGCUGCUCAGGUGGCAUAAUGCGGACAAUGAGCCUUUCCCAAGCCUCUCCGAUGAGCCCAGAGGCCUUUCAUUUAAUUCUUAAAAAGCCUUUGAAGGUCAGAGGUUAUUGGCCCAUAUUACAGAUGGGGAAACUGAGGCUUAGAAUUUGGUAACUUACCCACAGUAAGUCACAGAGCUAACAAGUGGUAGAAGCAGAUCUUGAACUCAGGUCUAGCUGGCUCCAAGUCAAGUGCUCUACCAGUCCACAAAGAUCCCUCUCAAACGUCAAGUCUUUAGUGCCCUCCUGGCCUGGAACCCUCUUCCCAGCUUACCUCUCAAAUAGGCAACUGGGCUGUUAUCACUCAGGUCUUAGCUUCUCCAGUCACCCCAUCAGAGAGGCCUCCCUGAUCACCAAAAUCUAAAGGACCCCCCCUUUAAUAUCUCACCUUCAGAGCCUUCAUUCUUAUCUUCUUUCUUAAUUAUUUAUUUACACACGCCAACAGCACCAUUGUUAGCUACUUGAGAAUAGAAACUUUGAAAAAAACGUAAAAAAAAAAAAAAAGAAUAGGAACUUUGUCUAACACCAAAGCAUCCCUGGGCCUAUAGAGAGUCAAUAAAUAUUUGUUGAAUGAAUGAACGAACGAAUGAAUGGACUGCUGCUUAGCCUAAAAAGCCACAGUCAAGAAAAAGGUGGUUCUACCGUAUUUCCCUUAGCAGAGCACAGUUGGGUGCACUGUGGCCCUAGCAACCGGCAUACCCUUUGUUCGCCGAAGGAUGAGGACACCUCCUGAGCCGAUAAAGGGGAGCAGAGGCUUGGCUGGACCCAGAGGCUGUUCUCCAACAGGUUUGCCCUGCAGGGCCCCAGGAAAGUCCCCAUAAGUGGUCAGCCCUCCCACCUGCUCCCCAGAAUGCAGCCUGCGGAGAAAAAUAGCCCCGGGUGACCUGGGUCACCCGUUGAGGUGUGGGAAACCUGAGCUCGGCCCGCGCGACCUCGGCUUUGUUUGCCUCUGUGUAUGGCAACCAGAAACCACCGAGCCUGCAGUUCUCAGAGGCCGCCUCCCGCACCCCGCACCCCCCUUUAUGUUAAUCUCCUAAACUGAUUUGUCAGCAGCAGGAAGUGACAUGACAGCUUUCCUCACAAAAGGGAAACUCCUCCGCGUUUCCAUGGGGAUGGAGGCUACUGUAGGAUCACAGAUUUAUAUAAUCUUAAAGGGGUACACGCAAUGACGUCAUCCACCAGGGGCCAGGGGAGGGAGGGAGGGAGGGAAAUGGAGGCCGGAGGCUGCAAGUUCAAGGCCAAUUAGCUGCGAUUUGCAAAAUUCCAAGGAAAAGACAGGAUGCAGUGGAAGCACUUGGGGUUGGUAGUCUCCUAAUGGAAUAAUGGGUGUCUGGAAACCACCAAAAAGCAUAAAGUAUGCAUUGAUGCGUAUUCUACGUACUAGAAUUAGAGGGCUGGGAGGAAGCUUACCCAUUAGAUCCACUGCAAGGUGGUCAUUUUAUGGGUGGGAAAACUGAGACCCAAGAACCGCUAGAGGUCAUUAGGAGAGGGGAAAGAGACCUGAAUGUUUCUCCAGUGCCCACAACAUGCCAGGCACUUCUACAUUCAUGAGCACCUUUCCUCCUCAAGUGAAGUAGGUUUUAUUAUCUUCAUUUUACAGAUGAGGAAACCGAGGCCCAAAGGGAUAAAUGGCUUUUCCACUUUGAUAUUAUGGGGUAAAACCAUGCUGACGUCUGGUUAGCUACAAAGCUCAUCUUUUCCUCACUCCCACGAGCUGUCUUUUGGACUGAACUAGGGCUUUCUUCCCCAGUCUUCUUACAGACCCUUGUUCCCAACUUUGCAGUGCCGUUUACUUGCUGUAUGACCUUGAGCUACAAUUAGAGGGUUGUCGCUUCACCUCUCUGAGCCUCAGUUUCCUCCUCUGUAAAAUGGAUGUUGCUUUAAAAGUUAAAUUGGAGCAUCUGGAAAGCACUUAGCACAGUGGCUGGCACAGGGCGCUAACUCUAAAAUUGACAGCUGUUAUUACAUUCUCAGUAUUAAAUGAUCGAGUUGUCCCUAUGUCAAUCUCCCAGCUGAGAAACAACAUUUUAAUAGCUUAAGCAUCUUUCUUCUCAUCUUAGGCACUUUUUUUCCUUCCUAAGAAAAGCAGUCUCAGGCCAAAACUGACAUCUUCUGGAGGGCCUGAGACCAGGAAUCGGAUGCAUGGGGAGGAGGGGUUAUCACCCUGGCUCUCCAGGGCUGGCAGGAGGUUAAGUAGCUUGUGCUGGGAGAAGUCAGUGAAUUGUUUUCACUGGCGGCUCCCUUAGGCAGCCACUGUAUUUUUCCACUGUGUGGAUCACAGUGGAGAUUAAUGUUGGUUCAGCCAGUGCCUGCCAAGCAGAAAGUGAUGGCCCGAGCCCACGGGGAUGUCAGCCGUGGCAUCUGCCACGGACCCCAAGUCGCUGGUACAUUUCCACGAAGGGAGAUAUUUGCAAGAGUAGAUUUCUAGGGUUUGAUAAAAACAAUGGGUAUGGUUUGUUUUGAAAGGCGUGAACACACUUGUCACUGGAAGCCUGGCCGAGGAAAUGAAUUUGCCAGCCCGGGGUAAGUUCUUAGAACAUGGAACACAGGGAUCUUUCAGGCCCUGGGAGUCAGGUGGUGCACCAGUGCAGAAAGGUCAAGGCCUUGAAUGAUGGGGCUGGACCAGGACCACUACUCAGAGCACCCCUAGAAAAGUAAAGUAAGAUUUUCGCUUUUCUGCUUCCUACAGCACUUUGUCCAGAAACAAGUAAAGGAGUGCAGGGGCUAAGGGGCCAGCAACCCAGGAGCGUCACUGUUAUUUAGUUCAACAUUAAAGACUGGAUUAUGGGUUGGUAGUUAAUUACACCUUCUCUGCAUUGGCCUGUUUGGCAAGACAGAGUGAAGAUCAAGACUAUUGCCCUAGAGCAAGUCAGAUUUAAUUGUCUAUCUUCUUCAACAAAAUUAUGAAAGCAGGGCAGCAAGUGACCGGAAGGAGGCGGCCACCAAAAAUGAUGGGUACGUGUGCAGAGGUGCCUAGGGGAUGUGCUCCGAAACAAUAAUGGUCAGGUUGGGGGCGGGGAUUUCUGGUGACUGGUCUACACUGUAUUUGCUUAUAGUGCUUGGUAUUCUUUUCACAAAAAAUAAAGGUCUUUUCAAAGGCAAAAAAAAAAAAGCACACAUGAGAAGCAAGUGAUAAAGCACAAAGCUCAUAGAAUUAGGAAACGAAACAGAUGUAGGGCCCAAUUCCCCGACUUGUGCCACUUAGCUAUGCUGGGUCUCACCAUCUCCAUUUGCAGAUCUUGCUGAGUUGUUCUAGGGUCAGUCAGCACACCCUGCCUUGCACAUAGUAGAAACACAUUUAUAGCAAAUGUGUUGAAAAACUAUCAUCCUCAUCCCUUCAGCAGAGAUCAGAGAGGGGAGGGAGGCUUUUUAUGGUAUCCUGGGGAAGUUGUUAAAUGGAAAAAGCAACCAAGUCAAUGGCUACUUCCUAGUUUUGGCUCUGGGGACACUUGAGGGAGACAUGAUGGGAAGAUACAUAGGUGGACACUUGAAUCCAAUACCAAGAGCUCAGCUCCAGCACCUAUGUUUUUUUGUUUGUUUUUUUAUGAUUGAUCACACUUCUUUACCGUCCUUGCAACCCACCAUCUUGUGGGACUGAGGGGCCACCGAAGAGUAUGGGAUCAGAUGCCAACACACAUUCUGGAAGACCCUGUUCUCCCCUAUUUCAGUGGUGGGAGAGGGAUCAGUGGGGCUGCCCAAGAAAUAAAGCAUCAAGUUUUCAAUA
Aethalodelphis obliquidens (Pacific white-sided dolphin) is the source of this 4920-nucleotide long non-coding RNA. RefSeq lists it as uncharacterized. NCBI's taxonomy places the organism in Eukaryota, Metazoa, Chordata, Mammalia, Artiodactyla, Delphinidae. The transcript has 4 exons. The record is from RefSeq and is a predicted model, not a curated record.